CGGGCUAUGGCGCAGCCUGGUAGCGCGCUUGUCUGGGGGACAAGAGGUCGUGGGUUCGAAUCCCGCUAGCCCGA
This 74-nucleotide transfer RNA is filed under the name Verrucomicrobiia bacterium DG1235. Its description in RNAcentral is "Verrucomicrobiae bacterium DG1235 tRNA". It matches the Rfam family "tRNA". Rfam says of the family: Transfer RNA (tRNA) molecules are approximately 80 nucleotides in length. Their secondary structure includes four short double-helical elements and three loops (D, anti-codon, and T loops). RNAcentral also lists the same sequence under 3 other names. The record is from Rfam by way of RNAcentral. Lineage: Bacteria; Pseudomonadati; Verrucomicrobiota; Verrucomicrobiia.